This is a long non-coding RNA of Olea europaea var. sylvestris, 702 nucleotides long. RefSeq lists it as uncharacterized. Lineage: Eukaryota; Viridiplantae; Streptophyta; Magnoliopsida; Lamiales; Oleaceae. The transcript has 3 exons. The record is from RefSeq and is a predicted model, not a curated record.
UGACACUCAUUUUUCCUUAUUUAUUUUUUGUUCUUUUGAUUUGCCCUAUAUUCUGGUUGUUGCUUUAGUAAUUAGAUGGGCAUGAUUUGUGAUUUAUAUGGCAGUAUCCUAAUUAUGUUUUUGAUGUUGCUUUAAAGCAGUAUCCUGAUUAUGGCCGACUGAUUUGCCCUAUAUUCUAGUUGUUGCUUUAAAGCUGUUCAAUUUUCUAGUUGAUCUUGUCAUUUCCAAUUUUUCAGGGCUUUGUGAGAUCCUUAUUAGCCAUUGGCAGAGCUUGGAUAUGCUGAAGCUAGUCCGUGUUGCCUUGGCGGUUCUCACAUAAAAAAGAAAGGAAGAAUUGACAUCAAAUGAGUAGUAACUGCUGCAGAGAAAGCUUACCAAGAAAAAGCACUAGUAGGUGGAAUCAGAACUAUGUGUUCUCAAAAUCAAAAGGAGAUGCUUAAGCUGCUAGUUACUGAUAUGAAGCCGCUUUCUGUUCGGGACAUUGUCCACAAUGGAGCCACUUUCCAGCUUUGUUGGCCGUCGUGAAUUGUGUGGCGAGCAAAUCGAAGAGUGCAUGAAGGGCAAUAUGAUUGAGCAUGCCGUUAGGGUAUUAUCCGGAAGCUUGGUAUUGCAAGUGUGGCAAUAAGCUCUUCAUGCCUAAGCUGUACCAAAAUUUUAUUCCUAGUUUUGUUUCACUUUGAAGCUCCUUUCUAUUUAGGUGGU